GACGAACGCUGGCGGCGUGCUUAACACAUGCAAGUCGAACGAAGAGCGAUGGAAGUUUGCUUCCUUCAAUUUUAGUGGCGCACGGGUGUGUCACGCGUAAUCAACCUGUCCUUCAGUGGGGUACAUCAGUUGGACACGACUGCUAAUACCACAUUCGAUUCAAUCUCGGCAUCGGGAAUGGAUGAAAGGUGGUGUUUAUUUAUAAGCUUUCACUGAAGGAGCAGUUUGUGUCUGAUUAGCUAGUUGGUGGGGUAACGGACUACCAAUGCGAUGCUCAGUAGCCGGACUGAGAGGAUGAACGGCCAAAUUGGGAAUGAGACACGGGCCAGACUCCUACGGGAGGCAGCAGUUAGGAAUCUUCCGGAAUGGAGGAAAGUCUGACGGGGCAACGCCGCGUGGAUGAUUACAGCCUUCGGGAUGGAAAGCUCUGUUAAUCAGGACGAAUGGUACGUGUGCGAAUAGAGCGAGGAUUUGACGGUACCGGAAUAGAAAGCCACGGCUAACUACGUG
This 510-nucleotide ribosomal RNA is filed under the name uncultured bacterium. RNAcentral's name for it is "partial 16S ribosomal RNA". It matches the Rfam family "Bacterial small subunit ribosomal RNA", at positions 28 to 507 of the family's 1533-position model. The record is from RNAcentral.